AGGAAAUGAACCCAAGUCCAUGAAACACUCCUUGAGCACCAUCUUGUCAUCUGGGACUGCAUCUAAGGUGCCUUUGAGGCACUCCAGAAGCUCUUUCUCAGAACCCAGAAUAGAAUCUCCUCUAGAUAAUUUCCUCUCUGUAACUUUCCAAACCGAAGUAGCUCUCCCCGAAAGUGAUCUUGCAAUCACUUUCAGUGCAAGUGGGAAU
Molecule: unclassified non-coding RNA, 208 nt
Filed under: Hevea brasiliensis (rubber tree)
Lineage: Eukaryota; Viridiplantae; Streptophyta; Magnoliopsida; Malpighiales; Euphorbiaceae
Source: RNAcentral